Hypanus sabinus (Atlantic stingray) is the source of this 4601-nucleotide long non-coding RNA. RefSeq lists it as uncharacterized. The transcript is spliced from 4 exons. Lineage: Eukaryota; Metazoa; Chordata; Chondrichthyes; Myliobatiformes; Dasyatidae. The record is from RefSeq and is a predicted model, not a curated record.
UCCUCCUCUGUCAACUGUCUGCCAGACAGUGGAAAUCAAACAGAAACUCAGCUUGCACUAAAAAUCAAAAAUUCUGAAUCCAUUCUGAUAAAAGAUUGUGAACCUGAAUCCUUAAAUUUGUUUCUCUCCUCACAGCAGUUCCUUACCUGUUGACCGAUUCUGGUGAUUCCGGUUUCUUUUUAUUCCAUUCACUCUGGAAUGGUUUAAAUUUCCUGAUUGUUUGUUAUACUUGUGUAAAGGGGGUUUCUUCUUUUUUCUUUGUUACUGUGUUUGUAAUCAAAAUGGCUUCUUUGUUUUGUUAAAAGCAGGAAUGCUUCUUUGUUGUGAGAGAGUGCUGGAAGCUUGUUUGGGUUAAAAUUUACUGAUAACGAGAAUUGUAUUCCUUUGUAAACCAAUUGGGAUUAAUGUUGUUCUUUCUUCUGAGUCUGUAAGCUAUUGUUGGCGGGCUUUUUGGGAGAUCGGCGCGAGGGGGUGAGAGAGAGAGGACGCGAUGCUGUAAGCUGGGUGAGGAAUGGACUCCAAGCGGGGGUGCGAGGCCAGGAGGUACCCCGAGGAGAGGAGAUGAAGCUAGAUGUGCUUGGUUGACCACUUCGGAUGGUCCUAAGCUGCGAGUCGAGGAGUUCUGAGGGGAGCGAAUGGUGGCCAGAAGACUUCAGUAAUUGAGCUCCAACAGUUGUGCACGAAGUGGUUUGGACUUUGAUAAUUGGACCAGCGGUGAGAGAUUUCUUUGAAGAGAAACCCACAACUGGAAGCAAACCAUGACUGAAGAUGAGGGAACAGCAGCAAGUGAACCAGCCCGUUGACUGAGUGCACCGACUGGAGAGAAACCCUUCUGAUUCAGGGUUUCCAUUGAUUCCGUCAGGAGCAAGUUUGGUUAAAACUGACAAGGAUCUUGUCUAUGGGAAUCUCGAACACAACACGCCAGUUUUGCUGUCUCUGUCCAGAUAUUGAAGAAGUGGAACAAGGGAUUCACUUGAUCAUCUGACUGACGGGCAUGCCUGUCAGUUUACAGAGGGGAAAGGCUGUUCACCUUUUCAAACUGUGGGGAUUCGAGGUCAUCUCAUGAAGAUAAAUCAGCAAGUUCACACUGGGACAAGGCCAUUCACCUGUUCUGUGUGUGAGAAGGGAUUCAGUCGGUCAUCCCACCUGUGGACACACCAGUCAGUUCACACUGGGCAGCAUUUGGAAAUGCUGACCGGCCUGCUGAGCUCCUCCAGCAUUUUGCGUGUGGAACAUGUUACUGUACAAGAAGUGGAUCAGCUGCGGAACCUGCUUCUAAAACCUUCACUCAGUGGAAUAUAAAACAUCCAUAAAUUGCCAUUGACUGCGGUAUUCAGAAAUUAUGGUGGAAAUGCUUUCUCGUCGUGCAGUCAGCAUUGAGCAUUGGGAUGAUUUCAUAACCUAACAACUUUACUGGAAAUUUGAAUUCGAUUGAACAUAUCAAUUGAAUAAAAUCCCGGCUCCCACUUUAUCUGGAACGUUGGAUGCUUAGCAACAUGUGGUUGUACAAUUCAUUUGAUUCACCCAGGAAGUUCACGUUCGCAAAACUACGGUCUGGCCUGUUCCAGACCAACAACAACGUGACAACUUUCACUGCGGACUGAUAAGUGCAAGCAACUGAUUCAGUUCAUUUACAAAUGAUAUUUGUGUUUGUUGCCAACUGCGUCAGCGAUCCUGCACCACGUGAUAGGAGAAACGUACUAAGGGGUUAAACAAUGACAUUGGAGAGCAAGGAACUGGAAACAUAACUGCAGGACAGUGAACAACUCCGGAAAAUCUGGAUUUAACUCAUUUCAAUUGUCCACAAUGUUGGUUAUGAGGUAACAUCUCCAUUGCUAUUAAUUAUUCUUCUACAUUCUUCAGGUUUUAUCUCCCGUCCAUUUUAAUCUCGGAAAACGCUAAUGAAUUGAGUUUACAUUUAUCGGAACCGCUCUGACACUACCUAAUUUCAAACGCUACUCCUACGGAUAAACUCAGAGAGUGGGACUGCAUCACCACAGAAUGAUCUUUUGCUUGAAGUGUUUUAAUACUUAACGCGCUUUCUUCACUAAAAGACAUUUAACCCCACUGGGCCAUUACAAAGCACCAUAACCGAAUGUGUCCGGCUCAUUUUACCGUCCGAUAAUGCAAGUAGAAUUAGAAAAGGCACAACGGGAGACCCAGCACCUUCCAGUAGCUUCAGCAUUUCAGAAUUAAUUUCCGAACCAAUACACACAUGGGACACGACUUAGUCAGUCAGAGACAGAUUAUUUACGAUAGGAACUAAAUAUGCAAAGGAAUCAGUCUGAAUUUUAAAUCAGACAUCAGACUCUGAUGGUACCUGCAAGUCGAAGUGAAUUCAGGAUUUUGCUCCAUAUCAAGUUUAAAACAUUUUCAUGGGGAUCAUGAAACUGAACAUACGGCAACCCCACCCUUUCAGCAGCUUAUUCUCGGAAAACGUACGUGGAAACGAAGUGGCACAGCUUGUGCAGGAAUUACAGGACAAUUCUGAUGUUUCAGUAAUUAGAAACGACUUCUUAAUGACUUAACAUUAUACAAGAGAUACACCAACUUAGAUUGCUCAAUAUAUUUCCGGGAAUCCCGAUAUAUGAAGUUGCUUCACUGAUUGGAACGGUUCUCCAUAAAGUGUUUUUGAAUGCUGAAAACCGGGCAGAGUUCACAGUCAGCACGUCAGCUUCAUAUUGAGUUUAUUCUGGGUAGGUAGAGUCAAAAAUAGGUCAUUGAAUGCUCUUUGUUUGAUAACCUGUACUGUUCACGCUGAUUUUAAUAUAACGGCUGUGAACGUGUGACUGGGACUAGGACAGACGUCUGGAUUUCCAGACGUAUCGCGCUCUUUGGAAAUUGGAGAAUGAUUAAGGCUACAUUCAGUCCAGCAGGAAAACCAGACAGAAAGUCUCCAGAUGAUUCUGAUUUUGAAUUUACAUUUUAAAAUCUAAAAACAGGCAUUGAAGACUUGAGAAAAUGGUGUCGUUGAAUCAGAAUAAAUGCAAUGAGACCAUAAAACCUUGGAAAGAAUUAGGCCAUUCUGCCAGUCCGAUUCACCACCAUUGCAUUAUGGUUGAUUUAUUGUUAAUUUUAUACCUUCAUGCCCCUGACCUUUGAUGCUCUGAUUAACUGACUCCACUAUUGAGGCAUUGCAACAUUUGAAAGGUUUCAAAGAGAUCCCCCUCAUUCUUCUGAAUUCCUGCGAAUACAGACUCAGAGCUAUCAAUUCACAGUAAUUGUUUACAAUCAAGUAGCUUGCAACAAGUGUCACUACAAAGAGUUCACAGUUCAAUACCAUCACAGUACAACAUCCUGGGAAACAAAAUGAAUCCAGGAAUAUAUAAAGCAGGACAUUAGCUUGAAUGAUCGGGACAGUAGUCGGAUCAGGCCUGUCUGAAAGCGGCCUGGUCGAGGGAAGUGCCUAGUGUGAGAAGUGCUCAUCUUUGGCUCGAGAGAUUCUGGCAUUUUUGGCAGUUGGAUAGUGCAAUCAAGAAUUGAUUAGCAGUUGAUUGGCAAUCAAGAUUUGAAUAGCUCAGACUCAGCAGAAAACAGCUGAUUGGGCAAUCGAGGUCAGGUGACCUUGCAACGCGCAAAGUUCAAGCAAAUAAAAAGAGGGAGAUCUCUAGCGGUGCGGCCUGGUUGAGGGAAGUGCCUGGUGUGAAAAGUGCUAGUCUUUGGCUCAAGAGUCUCAGGCGAGGAGGCUGAGGGAGGAGACUACGCCAGGCACAAUUGGAGAGUGUGAAGGUAUGACCGCUAAGCUGAUUCAGUGUGCUACGUGCAUGAUGUGGGAGAUCAGGGACACUGAUGGUGCCCCCGGCUGCUACAGCUGUAGAAAGUGUGUCCAGAUUCAGCUUCUGAAGGAGCAUGUUGCAGCACUGAAGAAAGAACUGGAUGACCUCAGGUUUAUCCGUGAAAAUGAGAGUUUUCAGGACAGGACCUACAGUCAAGUCGUUACACCAAGGAUACCGGAAGAGAGAAAGGGGGCGACGAUGAUGACGGAAAGGAUGCUUGAAAUACAGGAGACACCAGGCAUGUACCUCUCGAAAACAGGUUCACCCUCUUGGAAGCUGUCAGGACAGAAGAUACUGCCAGUCUGAGAGGCGGACAGGGUUGCAAGCCAAAAAUUGGUGCAGAAGCAGAGCCGAGGAGUCAGACAUCAGGAAGAGCCGUGGUAAUAGGGGACUCCAUAGUGAGAGGUAUGUUCCUGCGGCAACAGGCGAGAUUUAAGGAUGCUAUGUUGUCUCCCUGGUGCUAGGAUCCAGGACAUCACGGACCGAUUGCAGGGAAUUCUCAAGGGUGAAGGUGAACAGCCGGAGGUGGUAGUGCAUGUCAGCACAAAUGACAUCGGGAAGAAGAGGAAGGACAUUCUGCAGCGGGACUUCAGAGAGCUCGGAAGAAGUCUGAAAAGCAGGACUUCCAGGAUGAUUAUCUCUGGUUUGCUUCCAGUUCCAAGUGCUGGAGAGGGCAGGAACAGAGAGAUAAUGGAUUUGAAUGUGUGUCUGAAGAACUGGUGCAGGAAGCAAGGAUUUACAUUAUUGGACCACUGGGAUCUGUUUUGGGGUAGGAAUGAAUGUUACAAAAGGGACUGAAUCCCUUACUGCCAGACAGGUUUGCCA